Long non-coding RNA from Bombina bombina (fire-bellied toad), 755 nucleotides. RefSeq lists it as uncharacterized. The record is from RefSeq and is a predicted model, not a curated record. The transcript has 2 exons. Lineage: Eukaryota; Metazoa; Chordata; Amphibia; Anura; Bombinatoridae.
AGAACAUCAAUAAUUUUGUGGUUGGUUCUUCUGUGUGAGCUCAGCUGCUGUAUAACUGACCUUGCAUCUUGUGAAUGGAAUACUGAAUCAUGUUCAUUUAAAGCUCUAUCUGUCUGUGAAGAAAAAACCCAUCAAGGCACUAAAAGAUCUGUAACACUUAUUACUGGAAAUUAAAACAUAAAUCUGUUAUAUUCUGACAAAGUCCAGGUGAUAUCAACAAUGAAUUCUUCAAGGAGAAUACAUUCUCUCCGUGCCCACAGACCGAGAGUUCCUGUUAACUAUGCGGACAGCUGGCAGAAUCCCUCCUGUAGCUGUGCAGAACAAUGGUGUAUAGACGAAUUAGCCACAUACCUACUAAUCACUCUGAUUGUUGUAAUUGCACUGUGGGGAGCAUGGGCAAAAAAAGACGUUUAUGCAUAAGACUUCACUGGAUUUGGACUGUAAACUCAUGAUGGACAUUUUGUUAAACUGCGGUACAUGUUGAGCGCGUGUAAGGCAUACUGUGAUACUCUACUGAGCAAGCUGAAUUAUUUGCUUUCAGUUUGGCGUUGGUUGCUGAAGAAAACUGUAUAUUCUAAUCUUCAAAGUUCUAUUUGAAGAAUCUUUAUAUAUAUAUUUAUUUUAAAACAUUUGUCGAGAUGAAUCCUGCUCUGUUGUAAGGAAGUGUGAUAAUUGUGUGACAUAAGUGAUAUAAGAGAGUGACAUGAAUGUUUACAAUACUCCUUGCAGUGUGUCAAUAAAAUGACAUCCAUUUA